This is a long non-coding RNA of Galeopterus variegatus (Sunda flying lemur), 342 nucleotides long. RefSeq lists it as uncharacterized. The transcript is spliced from 2 exons. Lineage: Eukaryota; Metazoa; Chordata; Mammalia; Dermoptera; Cynocephalidae. The record is from RefSeq and is a predicted model, not a curated record.
CUCUGUGGAUAUUGACAAAACUGGAAAAACAGACGUCUUUAGUUGACUGGAGAUCAAUAUGAACCGAGCAGAAGCUUGAGAAAUUCAGGAGCUGUCGCUGGCAUUCCCUACAACACACCUGCACCUGGCUGGUGGGGGCCGGAGGGGGUGGUGGCUGCACACAACCCAUGCAGAGGCCCCUUGCAUCCUGCCUCAGACUCCUCGCUGCAGCUGGGAGCAGAAUGGCAAGCGUGGAGGGCUGCUCUUCCAGUCACAACUCCAGAUCUGCAGGUCCCUGGGCGCACACUGCCAUGCUGGCAUCUAGACAGUGUCAUCCGGGACAAGUCAAUCCCUGCCAGAAAG